UUCCGGUUGAUCCUGCGGACCCCACCGCUAUCGGGGUGGGACUAAGCCAUGCGAGUCGGCGCUCCAAGCCAUCGUGGGGCGCGGCGGACGGCUCAGUAAAACCUAGCUAACCUACCCAAGGGACAGGGAUAACCCCGGGAAACUGGGGCUAAUCCCUGAUAGGUGACGGGUGCUGGAAUGCCCUGUCACCCAAAGGCUCUAGGAACGAUGCUUCCUAGAGCGCCCUUGGAUGGGGCUAGGUCCGAUCAGGUUGUUGGUGGGGUAACGGCCCACCAAGCCUAUAACCGGUACGGGCCCUGAGAGGGGGAGCCCGGAGAUGGGAACUGAGACAAGGUCCUAGGCCCUACGGGGCGCAGCAGGUGCGAAACUUCCGCAAUGCGCGAAAGCGUGACGGAGUCACCCCGAGUGCCACCCGCUGAGGGUGGCUUUUCCUCAGUCUUAACGGCUGGGGGUAAUAAGGGGAGGGCAAGCCGGGUGUCAGCCGCCGCGGUAAUACCCGCUCCCCGAGUGGUGGGGACGAUUAUUGGGCUUAAAGCGUCCGUAGCCGGCCUAGUGUGUUCUCCGUUAAAUCCGGCGGCUUAACCGCCGGGCUGCGGGGAAUACUACUAGGCUAGGAGGCGGGAGAGGUCGCCGGUACUCCACAGGUAGGGGUGAAAUCCUCUGAUCUGUGGAGGACCACCAGUGGCGAAGGCGGGCGACCAGAACGCGCUCGACGGUGAGGGACGAAAGCUGGGGGAGCGAAGGGGAUUAGAUACCCCCGUAGUCCCAGCCGUAAACGAUGCGGGCUAGGUGUCGGGACGGCUACGAGCUGUCCCGGUGCCGCAGGGAAACCAUUAAGCCCGCCGCCUGGGGAGUACGGCCGCAAGGCUGAAACUUAAAGGAAUUGGCGGGGGAGCACCACAAGGGGUGAAUGCUGCGGUUUAAUUGGAGCAACGCCGGAAAU
Molecule: ribosomal RNA, 943 nt
Filed under: uncultured archaeon
Lineage: Archaea
Description: bacterial SSU rRNA
Rfam family: Archaeal small subunit ribosomal RNA
Source: RNAcentral